Molecule: ribosomal RNA, 253 nt
Filed under: uncultured bacterium
Lineage: Bacteria
Description: partial 16S ribosomal RNA
Rfam family: Bacterial small subunit ribosomal RNA
Source: RNAcentral
UACGAAGGGUGCAAGCGUUACUCGGAAUUACUGGGCGUAAAGCGUGCGUAGGCGGUGAGUUAAGUCUGUCGUGAAAGCCCCGGGCUCAACCUGGGAAUGGCGAUGGAUACUGGCUCGCUAGAGUGCGGUAGAGGAGAGUGGAAUUCCCGGUGUAGCAGUGAAAUGCGUAGAGAUCGGGAGGAACACCGGUGGCGAAGGCGGCGAUCUGGGUAGAUACUGACGCUGAGGUGCGAAAGCGUGGGGAGCAAACAGG